Molecule: long non-coding RNA, 881 nt
Organism: Betta splendens (Siamese fighting fish)
Lineage: Eukaryota; Metazoa; Chordata; Actinopteri; Anabantiformes; Osphronemidae
Exons: 2
Source: RefSeq, a predicted model, not a curated record
AUUACUAAAUCAUGUAAAUCAUCGUAGAUCUUGAACCUACUCUAUAUAUUAGAUGAGGUUUUGUGUAAAGCCGACCAGAACCAAAGCCCAGCCAGACAUCAGCAGAGUCUACCAACACUUAAAGUGAACAGCUUUUCAAGGUGACACAUUAUUACUUUGUAGUCAGAGUUUUCAGAAGGGAUCUGUGCAUUUUUAGAAUUUUAAAUUUUUGAAUUUAAAUGCCUCGUCACAUGUACGCCCUUGUCCAGCUUCCCUCUAAAACUCAUUUCACUGAAUUCAACAACAUGGCAGUGAAACUGUCAAGCUAGGUCUAAAAAAAAGCACUGUUGUUUAGUUAGAAUCAAACCCAAGGUUCCGUCCUCUUCCUCAAAUUCUGAGGUACCGUUAUUGGAGCAUUUCCCAUCAGCGUGUGAACUGGUUCCUGAUCCUCUCCAUCACUGAUUCUACUACGCCUGGUGUGCCAAGCUGCUUCUGGAGGUAAAUGAUGCUGCUGCUGCUGCUGCUGCUGCUGCUGCUGCUGCUGUGAACCUGAUCCCUCCCUUCAUCAACAGCUGCCUUGCUACAGAUUCUGUUACUGCACUGCUGUAAAGACAAACCGAGCGUUUUUAGUUUUAUCCUGACAAAGUAGCCUGUUUGUAUUUAUUUAUUUAUGAAACAAGGAAAUAUUUACUGAAGCAAAGGAGAAGAAUGGAAAAAAUAUCAUGUAUUUAUGAUUAUGUCAGAUGGAUCAUGAACGUUACAGUUGACAGUUCUGCUUUGAAUGUUUGUGGAUCUGUCAUCAGAGGAACUUGCAGCCACCCAUGAACCACGCCAGGUGGUUUCACAGUGUAACUGCAGUGUUGCACAUGUCAUGUUUUAAUAAAGUUGUUCUACCAAGCCUU